This 541-nucleotide long non-coding RNA is filed under the name Cyanistes caeruleus (blue tit). Its description in RNAcentral is "lncRNA (ENSCCEG00000008456.1)". The record is from RNAcentral. Lineage: Eukaryota; Metazoa; Chordata; Aves; Passeriformes; Paridae.
GUUGGAUUGUGGGGAGUGUGCAGCACACACACACCACACAGGCAAACAUUUCUACCCUGCUUUGUAACUAAGAGCACUCAAGGAUUCCUUGUGUUCUUUCAGUGAUGUGAAACCUCUCUGAAUUUAUUGUGCCUGUGGAAAUACUUCUGGGCCUGACCAAAUUGUAAUUAGCGAGGUAAUGUGCUUUGGAGGGGACUCCCUGCAAAUUGAUGUAGAAGGAAUCCAAAGCUAGGCUGGUUUGAGAGGGAUUUAAUUACCAGGAGUCACAAAUGGUUCGUUGCCUGAUGGAAAUGAGCGGUGUAAUUGCAAAUCUAAUCUGUUCAUGCCUGGAACUUCAGCAGCCCUAAUGUCUGUGAUGGAAAUUGCAUCAAGUUCCUUUCCAAGGUUUGAGUGCAAGUUCCCUUUCUGCAAACUGUGGAAAGACAGAGUAGAAUAUAAUUUUAGAGAUUCUGAAAAGGAAAUGCUGAAUGUUUUGCCCACUGCUACACAGAUCCAGCACAGCUCUGAAAGAAACACAGCUAUGAGAAGUUCUUGCACUUAA